This 461-nucleotide ribosomal RNA is filed under the name uncultured bacterium. RNAcentral describes it as "partial 16S ribosomal RNA". It matches the Rfam family "Bacterial small subunit ribosomal RNA", at positions 28 to 503 of the family's 1533-position model. The record is from RNAcentral.
GACGAACGCUGGCGGCGUGCUUAACACAUGCAAGUCGAACGGAAAGGCCCUGCUUGCAGGGUACUCGAGUGGCGAACGGGUGAGUAACACGUGGGUGAUCUGCCCUGCACUUCGGGAUAAGCCUGGGAAACUGGGUCUAAUACCGGAUAGGAGCCAUUUUUAGUGUGAUGGUUGGAAAGUUUUUUCGGUGUAGGAUGAGCUCGCGGCCUAUCAGCUUGUUGGUGGGGUAAUGGCCUACCAAGGCGGCGACGGGUAGCCGGCCUGAGAGGGUGGACGGCCACAUUGGGACUGAGAUACGGCCCAGACUCCUACGGGAGGCAGCAGUGGGGAAUAUUGCACAAUGGGCGCAAGCCUGAUGCGGCGACGCCGCGUGGGGGAUGACGGCCUUCGGGUUGUAAACUCCUUUCGCUAGGGACGAAGCUUUGUGUGACGGUACCUAGAUAAAAAGCACCGGCUAACUA